ACUCAAAUGAAUUGACGGGGGCCCGCACAAGCGGUGGAUUAUGUGGAUUAAUUCGAUGCAACGCGAAAAACCUUACCUGGCCUUGACAUGUACCGGAUUUGGAAGAGAUUCCUUAGUGCUCGAAAGAGAGCGGUAACACAGGUGCUGCAUGGCUGUCGUCAGCUCGUGUCGUGAGAUGUUGGGUUAAGUCCCGCAACGAGCGCAACCCUUGCCAAUAAUUGCCAUCAUUCAGUUGGGCACUUUAUUGGGACUGCCGGUGACAAACCGGAGGAAGGUAGGGAUGACGUCAAGUCCUCAUGGCCCUUAUGGCCAGGGCUUCACACGUAAUACAAUGGCGCGUACAGAGGGUUGCCAACCCGCGAGGGGGAGCCAAUCCCAGAAAGCGCGUCGUAGUCCGGAUUGCAGUCUGCAACUCGACUGCAUGAAGUCGGAAUCGCUAGUAAUCGCGGAUCAGCAUGUCGCGGUGAAUACGUUCCCGGGCCUUGUACACACCGCCCGU
Molecule: ribosomal RNA, 499 nt
Filed under: uncultured bacterium
Lineage: Bacteria
Description: partial 16S ribosomal RNA
Rfam family: Bacterial small subunit ribosomal RNA
Source: RNAcentral